CAUUUUGUCCGUUAUUCUUCAUUUUUUAGAACCCAAUUGUUCUCUUUUUUUUUUUUUUUGGGUGAUUGUUCUUUUGUAUUGAUCCCUUUUUCUGUAUUCUGUAAACCCAAUCAGACCCCCAGUAAACCAACUUAUUUUCACAGAUAUUUAACAAUUAGCACUUUCUACAUGUUCUCCAAACAAUUGAAUUUUAUGAUAUUCUAAAAGCAUUUUUUAAAUAAUGAAAGUUUAAAAUUGAGUUGGUUUUCCUUGUAUUCAAAGUUUUGUAAACAGUAAACUAAG
Molecule: long non-coding RNA, 282 nt
Filed under: Mytilus galloprovincialis (Mediterranean mussel)
Lineage: Eukaryota; Metazoa; Mollusca; Bivalvia; Mytilida; Mytilidae
Source: RNAcentral